This 654-nucleotide small RNA is filed under the name Pan troglodytes (chimpanzee). Its description in RNAcentral is "retained intron". The record is from RNAcentral. Lineage: Eukaryota; Metazoa; Chordata; Mammalia; Primates; Hominidae.
AAGAAAAGAAAUCAUUAACCCCAGCUGUGCCAGUUGAAUCUAAACCGGAUAAACCAUCGGGAAAGUCAGGCAUGGAUGCUGCUUUGGAUGACUUAAUAGAUACUUUAGGAGGACCUGAAGAAACUGAAGAAGAAAAUACAACGUACACUGGACCAGAAGUUUCAGAUCCAAUGAGUUCCACCUACAUAGAGGAAUUGGGUAAAAGAGAAGUCACAAUUCCUCCAAAAUAUAGGGAACUAUUGGCUAAACCCAUGGGGCCAGAUGAUGCUAUAGACGCCUUGUCAUCUGACUUCACCUGUGGGUCGCCUACAGCUGCUGGAAAGAAAACUGAAAAAGAGGAAUCUACAGAAGUUUUAAAAGCUCAGUCAGCAGGGACAGUCAGAAGUGCUGCUCCACCCCAAGAGAAGAAAAGAAAGGUGGAGAAGGUAUAGUCACAGUCUACCUGACAGCAGUUGCUUUCCAGAGCCUGAUGUAGCUCAUUCAGGAAACUGCGAGUAGCACAUAACCCAUGAUGAGAAGCCAUGAUUUUUUCCCUCUCAGGUCUAUGUGGAAUAGUGAAGCCAGUGAGGGUUAUGUUGAUCAUCUCCAGGCAAGCCUUGUGUGUUUCUGUAACUGCCUGUGAAUGAUUUUAGCACAGUUGUCUCAGUCAUCAUC